UGCAGCAGGCGCAAUGAUAUUAACUUCCGUCAACAUAACCAACUGCACAGGGAGCGUGCCUUGCAACCAUGGAGACGAGUCAGAAGAUAUUUACUUUGGUGCACCAGAACUCAACAACAAAAGUACUAACGUUAUAUACUGUAUAAGCCAAAUGGUCGAGCGAACCUAGCCCGCAGUGAUUGCAUUUCACAGGUAGCUAACGACAACAGCAGUGCUUUUUCAAUCUGGUCGUUCAAGCUAACUAAAAAUAAUAAUGUUACACUUACAGCCAUGGGUGAUGAUACACUUGGGCCUGUCUGUACUCUGAAGAUUGUUGGGAUGGCCGUAUCCUUUAGACGUCGUACCGUGGUACGGGUAACACUGUCCAUGUUUUCCAAAUAGUCAUCUGGUCCAAAAUGCUUUGAGCAAACACGCCAUUUCUUGAUUGAUUCUACCGGUGUUUUGAGAUCUAUGAUCAGAGCAGCCAGCCACUGAUUCUUUCGUUUCUUAAUUUUCGUUGGAAUUCUAUGAAACAUGAUGGUAGAGUACACCUUCGACUUACUAUCACAGCCCUUUACAACACACAUAACCAUGGCUAAUCCCACACAGGUAAAUCCAGCCACUACCCAACUCUGCAACUACACAAAUUUAGCACCGGUCACGUUGGAAGUUACUUAGCUGGGGACUAUUUUCAGGCACUGCGUAAUAUUAUUGCGCCUGCUGCACCUAUGGUACGGCAGCAAAGUUCCUUGAUUAUUACGCCGGAAUGAGAGUAUAGUUCCUAGCCAUAUCGGCCUAGAAAAUUGCAUCUUUUCAUUUUCCGUCGGUUUUAGUACACGAUGUAACUACAGAAGAGUCAAGUAUUAAAUAGGAAAAAUAUCUAAACUCUUUGGUCAUUUUUGAGCGAGAUGCUAACGGUCUAAUCAGAUUCAAUGAUCUAUGCUAAGCUGCAGCUAAAAGUGGUACCGCCAGACCCUGAGAUCGGAUGAAUGGAUUCGAAAAAGGUGCAGCUCUCUGACAGUAAGGAUGCGAGUGAGCAUGCUGUCCAGAGCCUCAUUGCUCAGCGAGGCGGUUGAGAACCACAUGGGACUGCUGGGUACGCAGGAGCGCUCGGGGCUCAGGUAGAAUUGGGUCGUGCAUUGCCUCACACUGGGGAUGCCAUCUACAUUGAAAAAAACAAACAAAUGAUAAACACAACAAGAACACAAAACACACAAUCAGGCUAUGACAUUAUGACUGACCACUGACCAGAGCUUGAGUCCUCUUUGGGGGGAUAGAAACGCAAACAGGCCAUUUUGGUGCUGCCCUUGCUCCGAGAGCAGCGGACGAUGUGGCCAAAAGAGAGGCAACGGUGCUGCUCCACA
Molecule: long non-coding RNA, 1343 nt
Organism: Ctenopharyngodon idella (grass carp)
Lineage: Eukaryota; Metazoa; Chordata; Actinopteri; Cypriniformes; Xenocyprididae
Exons: 3
Source: RefSeq, a predicted model, not a curated record